Pelobates cultripes (western spadefoot toad) is the source of this 255-nucleotide non-coding RNA. NCBI's taxonomy places the organism in Eukaryota, Metazoa, Chordata, Amphibia, Anura, Pelobatidae. The record is from the annotation of a GenBank genome assembly.
GACUGCUAAAACAUACACACAGACUGCUGAAUAAAUAUACACAGACUGCUGAAUACAUACACACAAGCUGUUGAAUACAUACACAGGCUGCUAAAUACACGCACACACACACACACACACACACAGACUGUAGAAGACACACGCAGACUGCUGAAUACAUACAUACAGACUGCUCAAUACACACAUACUUCAAAACACACACACACACACACAGACUGUUGAAUACACACACACAGAUGGACUGCAGUGAGGGGU